AGGACGGACGCUGGCGGCGUGCUUAACACAUGCAAGUCGAGCGGUAAGGCCUUUCGGGGUACACGAGCGGCGAACGGGUGAGUAACACGUGGGUGAUCUGCCCUGCACUCUGGGAUAAGCCUGGGAAACUGGGUCUAAUACCGGAUAUGACCUGCUCUCGCAUGGGGGUGGGUGGAAAGAUUUAUCGGUGCAGGAUGGGCCCGCGGCCUAUCAGCUUGUUGGUGGGGUAAUGGCCUACCAAGGCGACGACGGGUAGCCGACCUGAGAGGGUGACCGGCCACACUGGGACUGAGACACGGCCCAGACUCCUACGGGAGGCAGCAGUGGGGAAUAUUGCACAAUGGGCGAAAGCCUGAUGCAGCGACGCCGCGUGAGGAUGAAGGCCUUCGGGUUGUAAACCUCUUUCAGCAGGACGAAGCGCAAGUGACGGUACCUGCAGAAGAAGCACCGGCUAACUACGUCGACCAGCAAGCCGAC
RNAcentral lists this ribosomal RNA (477 nucleotides) under uncultured soil bacterium. Its description in RNAcentral is "bacterial SSU rRNA". It matches the Rfam family "Bacterial small subunit ribosomal RNA", at positions 26 to 522 of the family's 1533-position model. The record is from RNAcentral.